Long non-coding RNA from Parus major (Great Tit), 406 nucleotides. RefSeq lists it as uncharacterized. The record is from RefSeq and is a predicted model, not a curated record. NCBI's taxonomy places the organism in Eukaryota, Metazoa, Chordata, Aves, Passeriformes, Paridae. The transcript has 3 exons.
CGCCUGCCACCUGCGCCGCUGGAGAGCCCCGCGCUGCCGUGGGGCGGCCGCGCCCGACGGGAGCAGGGAAAGUAACAAUUAUCAUGAUUUCUGACAGAAAAAUUGAACAUUUCUUCAUAACUGCUGGAAGAUUUCAUCCCUUAAUCCUGUAGUUGCCUCCAGUCAUAUGAAUUAUGGAAAUUACAUCAGUGAACACUUCAUCUUCUCUGGCUGGAAUUGACAGAUGGGAGUAGGAGUUGCGUAUAUAAAGGGGGUAGUGAAAAUGAACAAAGUGAUGGUUGCCUGCUGCCCCAGGGAGUUCUGCUGAUUGCAAUCUGUUAAAAAUUGUAUGAGAGAUUCUGCUGGAAAUGGGCAUGAUCCUAGAAAGCUGAACACAAGAGAAACAGGACACAAGACAAAAGGAAUU